This 253-nucleotide ribosomal RNA is filed under the name uncultured bacterium. RNAcentral's name for it is "partial 16S ribosomal RNA". It matches the Rfam family "Bacterial small subunit ribosomal RNA", at positions 524 to 776 of the family's 1533-position model. The record is from RNAcentral.
UACGUAGGCAGCAAGCGUUGUUCGGAGUUACUGGGCGUAAAGGGUGUGUAGGCGGUUGUUUAAGUUUGGUGUGAAAUCUCCCGGCUCAACUGGGAGGGUGCGCCGAAUACUGAAUGACUAGAGUGCGGGAGAGGAGAGUGGAAUUCCUGGUGUAGCGGUGAAAUGCGUAGAUAUCAGGAGGAACACCGGUGGUGUAGACGGCUCUCUGGACCGUAACUGACGCUGAGACACGAAAGCGUGGGUAGCAAACAGG